AGGGGAUCGCAAGACCUUGCGCUUUUGGAGCGGCCGAUGUCUGAUUAGCUAGUUGGUGAGGUAAUGGCCUACCAAGGCUACGAUCAGUAGCUGGUCUGAGAGGACGACCAGCCACACUGGGACUGAGACACGGCCCAGACUCCUACGGGAGGCAGCAGUGGGGAAUUUUGGACAAUGGGCGAAAGCCUGAUCCAGCCAUGCCGCGUGAGUGAAGAAGGCCUUCGGGUUGUAAAGCUCUUUCAGCCGGAAAGAAAAGGUUCCGACUAAUACUCGGAUGUAAUGACGGUACCGGAAGAAGAAGCACCGGCUAACUACGUGCCAGCAGCCGCGGUAAUACGUAGGGUGCAAGCGUUAAUCGGAAUUACUGGGCGUAAAGCGUGCGCAGGCGGCUUUGUAAGUCAGAUGUGA
Molecule: ribosomal RNA, 408 nt
Filed under: uncultured ammonia-oxidizing bacterium
Lineage: Bacteria
Description: bacterial SSU rRNA
Rfam family: Bacterial small subunit ribosomal RNA
Source: RNAcentral